RNAcentral lists this transfer RNA (83 nucleotides) under Actinomycetota bacterium. RNAcentral's name for it is "Actinobacteria bacterium tRNA-Leu". It matches the Rfam family "tRNA". From Rfam's summary of the family: Transfer RNA (tRNA) molecules are approximately 80 nucleotides in length. Their secondary structure includes four short double-helical elements and three loops (D, anti-codon, and T loops). The record is from RNAcentral. RNAcentral also lists the same sequence under 1 other name. Lineage: Bacteria; Bacillati; Actinomycetota.
GCGGGCGUGGCGAAAUUGGUAGACGCGCCGGCUUUAGGUGCCGGUGGCCUUCGGCCAUGGGGGUUCGAGUCCCUCCGCCCGCA